RNAcentral lists this ribosomal RNA (79 nucleotides) under Staphylococcus epidermidis. RNAcentral's name for it is "partial 23S ribosomal RNA". The record is from RNAcentral. Lineage: Bacteria; Bacillati; Bacillota; Bacilli; Caryophanales; Staphylococcaceae.
GAGGUUAAUGGUUUCUAGGUGGAAUCGUGGUGACACGUGGAGCUGACGGAUACUAAUCGAUCGAAGACUUAAUCAAUUU